CACUGAUGAACUAUUUAUUAGAAGACGUAGUAUAGUAUAUAAACGUGUAAAAGACUCAUACAACUGUCCCGCAUAUAUUAAUUCUAUGCUGGUGAGAAAUUCUGACAUUCACAAUCGAGAAACGCGUUUUUCUAAGAUUAACAUGAUAUGUCCCCGAUACAACCGAAUAACGGAAGGUGGAAAAACAUUCGCAGUGAGGACGAUCAAAGACUGGAAUACCAUUAAUGUAAAAAUCAGGAAUUCUGCAAGCCUUUAUAGUUUUAAACAUAGACUAUACAAGGACUUUUUAGAUGCUUUG
Non-coding RNA from Paramuricea clavata, 298 nucleotides. Lineage: Eukaryota; Metazoa; Cnidaria; Anthozoa; Malacalcyonacea; Plexauridae. The record is from the annotation of a GenBank genome assembly.